Molecule: ribosomal RNA, 206 nt
Filed under: uncultured microorganism
Description: partial 16S ribosomal RNA
Rfam family: Bacterial small subunit ribosomal RNA
Source: RNAcentral
GAGUUUGAUCCUGGCUCAGGACGAACGCUGGCGGCGUGCUUAACACAUGCAAGUCGAACGGUAAGGCUCCAGCUUGCUGGGGUACACGAGUGGCGAACGGGUGAGUAACACGUGGGUGACCUGCCCUGCACUUCGGGGAUAAGCCUGGGAAACUGGGUCUAAUACCGGAUAGGACCGCACCGUGAGGGUGUGGCGGAAAGUUUUUU